GCACCGUGUCCUCGGUGGUCUGAGGGCUUGGCUUACAUCCAAGUACAUUGAGUUCGAUUCUCAAACGGUGUA
This 72-nucleotide transfer RNA is filed under the name Siphoviridae sp. ctgN495. RNAcentral describes it as "tRNA-Val". It matches the Rfam family "tRNA". From Rfam's summary of the family: Transfer RNA (tRNA) molecules are approximately 80 nucleotides in length. Their secondary structure includes four short double-helical elements and three loops (D, anti-codon, and T loops). Lineage: Duplodnaviria; Heunggongvirae; Uroviricota; Caudoviricetes. The record is from RNAcentral.